Molecule: long non-coding RNA, 3980 nt
Filed under: Equus caballus (horse)
Lineage: Eukaryota; Metazoa; Chordata; Mammalia; Perissodactyla; Equidae
Description: lncRNA (ENSECAG00000057129.1)
Source: RNAcentral
CCUGUAGUCAAUAUGACAAGAAAGUACUGGAUCAUAGUUUAAUUGGGAGCACUUUUGUUCUUUUGUAGUAAUUCACAAAUAAUGGUACAUCUUAGAACGGAUGGCAUCUAAGAUAGGAAGAAACAUGGGAACUCCGUGGGGAAGUGAGGGAGAAGUAUGAAUACCUGUGUCCAGGAGGGAGGAGGAAAAAGCUAAACCCUCAUCUUCCACAGUAACGGGUCAGCAGAUUAUUUGAAAAAUUAACAAAGUAAGGAUACAGCUUUAUAAACAUAUUAUUUAGAAUGAUUGCUGUAAAUACCAGGAGUACAGCUAAAAUCACAGACCGCGAUUGGCUUGUGGGAGCAGUAAGCAUGGGUAUGGGAGAAGUUUACUGGGUUGUGAUUUUUUCAUAAGCCUCGUAAACAUGUGAAUUUUUAAACUACAUAUAUGUAUUAGAAGUAAAAGCAGUAUAUAUAGAAAUGAAAUAAAUAAAACGAAGUGCUCCAUUUCAAGCCUCCCCAGAACAGAAGUUGUCGACUGUGAAAAUAGAAAGGAGUCUUUAUGGUCUCCUCUUUCAGGGCAAAGCGGCCAACAUUGACCUCCAUCCUGGGCUGGGGAUGAAGCGUGGCUACCGGGCGACAUGCAUAUUGCUUCACAUGCCACCUCUUGCCUCCCAUCUUAGGAAACUCAGCUGCUUGAUUUUUCACUCUCAGGAGAUGAGACAGCCGGUCUUGGGGGAAAGUGGAAACCGCAGCACACACGACGCAUUUUUCAAAUGCUUGUGUUACCCAGAGCCCUCGAGAACGAGAAAGGAAGCUGGCGGCUUGGCAGGUGUGGAGGCCCCUUCCCGCAGACAUCUGUCAGCGGCUGUGGAAGCCCAGCCCCCUCCUCUUUGCAGAGGAAGAGCCCUGGAUUCCUGGCAAGAGCAGGCAUCCGUUCCACCGGUAUGUUCCAGCUGCUCGUCAUCCUGGAAGGAGGGUGGAAAAGCAAGAGAAAGAUUCCUCCUGGUAGAGCCAGAGCCGCUUGCUCCUCAGAUGUCAGACCUACGCAGGAGUUUCUGCAGGCAGAGGCACCCCGCUGCACCCGGGGCAUGCGGGCACUGCCUGCCUCUGCGUGGGGGAGGGCACCAUCUGCGAUUCGGCCAGGGUCUGGGUGAGCCCGCUGACGGAAGUCGUGAUUUGGAAUAAGCACUUAGGGGUCGCGCGGUGGUCAGAGAGGCGAUCAGGCCCACCAGUUCUUAUCCCCUCCCGAUCAGGACCGAGGCUCAGCUGCUGUGACAUGCUACAGCCCACCACGUGUUCACGUGGAAACACUUCUACACGAUGUUGACCAUCUUAGUUGCCCUUUUUCACACCUUCCCAAGCAAAGGCCUCUGAAAGUGUGCCGCCCAGAACUGGACCUGAUCCGACCAGGGAAGGGAUCUUGUGGCCAAAGGGCAUUUGCUGUCUGCCUUGAUUUUAAAGUGUCUGCAUUCAAAGACUUGGCCGGCGCCGCCCCUCAGGAGCUGGGGUGCCUUCAGACAGACAUCACCUCCCACUUGAAUUCCGAGGGCGAACUCCAGAAUGGCCUUCCCACUCUCCCUGUCUCAGCUUAACUUGGCUUCUCUCUACGAUUUUCCAUUUUAAAAUUUGUGCUGUGCUCUUGAUUCCAAUGUAAAGGUUGUUUGUGAGUGCCUUUAGGAGUAAAGAUCAAGUUCAAAACCGAAAUACCACAAGAUGCCCAGCGGGAGCCACGUGGAGAAUCUUUCACUUACCUACCAAACCAGGCCAGGAGGCCCAAGAGGCCUUUGCCACUUCCAGCUGAGUCACCACCGGCUCCACACCUUCUGCUUUUUCCCCUGAAAAUGCUUUCCCGUCUCUGCUCAGUGACUAACUCCAUCACCAAUGUGACCCAGUUUGUUUGGCAAGAUGUGAUUUUUUUUAACUCACGCUGCUUUCACUGGUCACGACUCUCACAGGCAUUUAGCGGCUCCCUCUCGGCGUCCGUCUGGCCCUGCUGCCGUGCUGGAUUGAUGGCUCUCUCCCCAGCUGUUCCUUUCCAGCCUGCUCUCCUCUCCCUGGCAAAUCCAUAUUCCAUUUGCUUUUCUGCAGCAUUUUGAUAUCUCCAGAGUCUCCUUAAAAUAGACAGAUAAACACUAAUCUCCAAGGAAGUUGCAAAGCAGAGCCCACAGAUUUGUACCAGCUCGGUAAUCUGCUCUCGAGGGCAGCUGGCUGGAAAGCAUAACAAUGGGAGUCACCAUGGAUGGGCUGCUUAUCAUUUGCAGAGCAUUCUGACUCACGCGGUCUCAUUAAUGUACGCGAUCCCCCACAGCACAGGUACAAGUGGUCCUUCCAUUUUGUAGGUGGGAAAACAAGGCCAAGGGAUGAAGAAGUGGUCUGUACAGUAUGUAGCAGAGAGGGCCAGGACUUGAACCUGCCCUUUUUAAAACUGCUGUAUAAUUUACAUUCAGUAAAAAACACACAGAUCUUCAGUGUCGUUUGAUGAAUUUGACAAAUGUAUACACUUGUGUAACUACCACCAGGAAAGGAUAUGGAACAUUUCCAUCACCCAGAAAGUCCCCUCGUGCCCUUUUCCAGUAAACUCCUAACCACUGUCUGACUUCUACACCAUAGAUUAGUUUGCCUUGAACCUGUCUUCUGACUCCAAACUCCAUAUUCCACGUCCCGUCCUUCUUCCAUUACACAUUACACCUUUGAAAUUAACUCAAUAGGCACCUUGGGUCCCACCUGGCUGGAAUCUAUAGACAUAGGACUUUAGGAAGCCAGGCCAUUGUCUUUCAGCUGAAAAAGUAGGUCAACUGGUGGAGUGGACCUGGAGGCUCACGACUUGGGGAAUGCAUGGAGAGCAAUUCCAAAACCACACAAAGGCCCUGUCUCUAGGUACACUGUGAAGUUGAACGCACUGCUUGCAGGCCUCAGCACUUCCAGGUACAGACGGUUCCUGAAGGAAAACUGUUACAAGGUUUAAAAGAGAGGGGUCAGAAUUCAGCUUUGAGAUAAAAGAACACCAAACUGCAGUCCCGACCUCUGGGACCUCCCCACCCACCCUGAACUGCCGCAGCAUCUGGGGCCACCAGUUCCAGGCAACAUCCUGAAUUUUCACACCAGACUCCUGUGGACUUUUCAUGCCAUCAGGCAUGUGUAAUCUGUAAACGGGGAGUUUUGCGACUGGAGGCCUCCAUUUUAGGGAAAGAAAAAAAAAGAAAGGAAAGAAAGAAUGAAAGCCCAUUCUGUUACUUCCGAGGAUAGGCGGUAAAUGGCACUAACGCUGAGUCCCUUUAGGUGGCAUUCCUAUCAGGCUUUCCUUAAUGAAGGGAUACAAAAUACAGUUAACCUUGUCUGCUUAUCUGCCCACAGUUUUACGCUAAACUCUUUGUUCGCUCCGGUAGGUCAACUGGUUGCUCGGAUCUUGUUUAUACGCAGUGGCAGUGGCGCGCUGGUAAAUGUUUAACAGCUGACUCUCCGGGAGGAAAAAAGCCCUGUUUUGUAGCAUUUGCCGAUCUCCACCUGUCCCUGACAGCGGGUUGGGAGACAGCCCGUGUGCCCCGGCUCAGCACGCUUGCAAGUUCAAUAAUACCUUUAAGAGAGCACACCAUUUCCCCACAGGCAGCACGGAGAAGCGUGGCGCGGGCGGCGCUGCCGGCACCCCAGUGAUCUCCAGGGCACGCGAUUUGUGGGCGGCCCUGUCUGUGCCCUCCGCCUGCUCCUCCAGGCUCUCCCAGGGCGGUUUUCUCUCUCCAAAAGAUAGGUUGUACAGGUGACAGUUUCCAAGGGCCUCCUCCCCUGAGCUGGAAUUUCCAAACAAACCUUCAAAGUCAUUUUUGAAGCGCAGAAUAAACAUAAACUAGCCCGAGAUGAAUUUCCACAAAUCUCCAAGCCCGGGAAUCUGGAUCCCCAGCCUCCACCCUUCUUACAUGGCCUCAUUGAACGGCUGGUCUUUUAAGAGUUUUUAGAACAACCCUAAACACCCAGCUUUCUUGCUCUGUUUUGUUUUUUCUUUAG